GUCUUUUUGAAUUAAAUUUAAAGUCUAACCUGCCCACUGAAUUUUUAAAUGGCCGCAGUAUUCUAACUGUGCAAAGGUAGCAUAAUCAUUAGUCUUUUAAUUGAAGGCUGGAAUGAAUGGUUGGACGAAAUAUUAACUGUUUCAUUUAAAAUUUUUAUAGAAUUUUAUUUUUUAGUCAAAAAGCUAAAAUUUAUUUAAAAGACGAGAAGACCCUAUAAAUCUUUAUAUUUUAUUUAUUUUAAUUAUAUAGAAUAAUUUUGUUAUAAUAAAAUAAAAUAUUUUAUUGGGGUGAUAUUAAAAUUUAAAAAACUUUUAAUUUUAAAACCAUUAAUUUAUGAAUAAUUGAUCCAUUAAUAAUGAUUAAAAAUUUAAGUUACUUUAGGGAUAACAGCGUAAUUUUUUUGGAGAGUUCAUAUCGAUAAAAAAGAUUGCGACCUCGAUGUUGGAUUAAGAUAUAUUUUUGGGUGUAGCCGUUCAAAUUUUAAGUCUGUUCGACUUUUAAAUUCUU
This 508-nucleotide ribosomal RNA is filed under the name Lordiphosa ayarpathaensis. RNAcentral's name for it is "partial 16S ribosomal RNA". It matches the Rfam family "Bacterial large subunit ribosomal RNA", at positions 1828 to 2597 of the family's 2925-position model. Lineage: Eukaryota; Metazoa; Arthropoda; Insecta; Diptera; Drosophilidae. The record is from RNAcentral.